This 438-nucleotide ribosomal RNA is filed under the name uncultured bacterium. Its description in RNAcentral is "bacterial SSU rRNA". It matches the Rfam family "Bacterial small subunit ribosomal RNA", at positions 340 to 772 of the family's 1533-position model. The record is from RNAcentral.
UACGGGAGGCAGCAGUGGGGAAUAUUGCACAAUGGGCGCAAGCCUGAUGCAGCCAUGCCGCGUGUAUGAAGAAGGCCUUCGGGUUGUAAAGUACUUUCAGUCGUGAGGAAGGUGUUAAGGUUAAUAACCUUAGCAAUUGACGUUAGCGACAGAAGAAGCACCGGCUAACUCCGUGCCAGCAGCCGCGGUAAUACGGAGGGUGCGAGCGUUAAUCGGAAUUACUGGGCGUAAAGGGCACGCAGGCGGUUAAUUAAGUUGGAUGUGAAAUCCCCGGGCUUAACCUGGGAAUGGCAUUCAAGACUGGUUAGCUAGAGUCUUGUAGAGGGGGUUAGAAUUCCAUGUGUAGCGGUGAAAUGCGUAGAGAUGUGGAGGAAUACCGGUGGCGAAGGCGGCCCCUGGACAAGACUGACGCUCAUGUGCGAAAGCGUGGGGAGCAAA